GGGGGGAGCAAGCGUUGUUCGGAUUUACUGGGCGUAAAGGGCGCGUAGGCGGUCAGCACAAGUCAGUUGUGAAAUCUCCGGGCUUAACUCGGAACGGUCAACUGAUACUGUGCGACUAGAGUGCAGAAGGGGCAACUGGAAUUCUCGGUGUAGCGGUGAAAUGCGUAGAUAUCGAGAGGAACACCUGCGGCGAAGGCGGGUUGCUGGGCUGACACUGACGCUGAGGCGCGAAAGCCAGGGGAGCGAACGGGAUUAGAUACCCCGGUAGUCCUGGCCUUAAACGAUGGAUGCUUGGUGUCUGGAGUUAUAUAGUCUCCGGGUGCCGCAGCUAACGCGUUAAGCAUCCCGCCUGGGGAGUACGGUCGCAAGACUG
Molecule: ribosomal RNA, 373 nt
Filed under: uncultured organism
Description: bacterial SSU rRNA
Rfam family: Bacterial small subunit ribosomal RNA
Source: RNAcentral